UUGAAGAUAUGACUAAAGAUCUUAAAAAGAGGAGAUUAUCCUAGGUUAUGCAGGAAAGGCACAGUGUGACCACAAGAAGAAUUGAGGAGGGUCAGAGUCAGAGAAGAUGUGAUGAAGGAAGCAGAGGUCAGAGAGAAAGCCUGGGAGAUGGUGUACUUCUGGUUUUGAAGAUGGAGAAAGAAGUCAUAAGCCAAGAAACGCUUGUCCCUUUGAUCUUCCAGAAGGAAACACCUUGGGGUUGUGUUAUCCAGCCUCUCCAGACAGCUUCUGGGCAACACUUCAGUCUGGACACUGGGUGGACUGAGCAUGUUACGGAGCACAGACUGGCAGAGUCAUGCAAAGAGGCAACAACAGCAGAGGUGGAGGACUACGUUGAACAAGCAGCUCAAGACCCAGGAGGCAUGUGGGGCCAAGUGAAUCUGGGGUGGACAUAAAUUAAGUUUGACAAAACAGAAGAUUGAGGUGGUAAAGAAACUGUUCUAGAAGAUACUGAAGAAGUCCCCAAUUUUACACCAACUGUGAAAAUGAGACCAACAUAAGGCAAUUGAUAUUAAUUCCUGUGAAUGGGCUGGAAGCGCCAUAAAAGGUAGAACUGCAUGAUCCAACUUACACCUCGCCUACCUCAUGAGGUUUCACUCUAUGUAGACUACAGAAGGGAAGAUACUUCCAGGUAAGAGGAUUUGAAUGAAUUCCCUUUCACCUCAAAUUAAUUUCCUCCCUUAAUAUUUCCUUCCUUGUACACCACAUCCAAACUCUCAGUUCCUAUCCAGAAAGCUCUGAGCUGUUUGUUUGACUUGCUUGUCUCCUGAGUUCACGACCUGUAACAAUCAUCCCCCUGUGCCAUCCCUGGAGCCCCCAAGGGCGGGCUCUGUUUACCAUUCACCUGAUCUAUGGCAAACAGCCCUCAAAUCCAGUUCCUCAAUCCAUCCCCCACAAUAUGCCACAACAGUCUUCCUAAAGAACAGCCACAAGCAUGUCUUUCUCCCAGUCACAAGUGGCAGUGAAUUCCCACUGCCCACCACAGUAAGUAUAAACUCCUCUCUCUGGCAUUUCAUCCUCCAACGCAUGAUCCCAUAUUAGCAUUGGAUUCCCUACAACUGCUCCACAAUCCAGCCAUACUGGGAUUCCUGCUAUUCCCUAAAUGCCCCCACCCCCGCACACCCUGCCGUCCAUGCAAUUUUUGCUUAGACUGUUUCAUCAGUUUUGAACCUUCUUUCUUUAUCAAGCUAUAAAAACUGUACCCAUUCCUCGAGUACCACCUUUUCUAAAUAUAUUUUCUAGUCUCCCCCAAGAGGAUAUGAUCAUUUUUCCAUCUAAACCCACUAGUAUUUCAUUCAUAUCUCUGUCAGAGCACUCGCCACAUUCCGGUCUGUAGUACAGCUCUUUCUGUGGUUCCUGAUCUUUUUUACAAGGCUGGGAGCUCCCCAGAGGUGGGAACAUUUUCUUCCUUACCUGAGUUAACAAGCAUUGCAGGCACUACAGGAAAGGAGGACACCUAUCUGUUGAAUGGACUAUGAGAAAAGGGAAAUGGGGUGUAUUCCUGGAACAGAGAAAAGCUUAGGAUCUCCCUGAAAUUGCUAUCUGGUGAGGAGCAGUGGGAAGGAUGGAUGUGCAUAUGUGGCCUGGUUUUCAAAGGCCAUUGUUGAGUACCAUGAGCAUCAACCUCUUUGGCAGUGAAACUUGUUUCCUUCACCAUCUUUAUUACAAAUUUAAUUCCUUCUUUUGUUCCUUUACCUGAGUAUUGUCUCUCUGUAUAAUGUAUAUACACACACAUCUCAGGUCUACAUUCCAAGAGUUCACUCCCUCCAGUGUCUACAGGAGUCCAAGAGUUCACUCCCUCCAGUGUCUACAGGAGUUCCUGGCAUAUGGUAAAGAGUCAAUACAUGUAUUUUGAGCCAGUGAAUGAAAUUUGUGGAUCAUAAUGCCCUAUAGAGAUUAAAUGCAGUCCUAUGUAAAGUGACUGGCACAAAGCUUGAACAUAUUAGCACUAGAAAUAUUAGCCUCCUCCCUCCCUUCUUCCCUUCCUUCCUUCUUCUAUGAAUUACUCAUGCAUCGAUCCACACAUUCAACAAAUGUGCCAGGUUUUUCUAGGCACCUGAAUAUAGGAUAGUGAACAAAAGAGGAAAAAAAAAUCCCUGCACUCAUGGAGCUUACAUUCUUUUUUGUCUUUAUGGAAGUUACAUCCUAAUGAAAGAAUGAAUGAUUCACUUUGGAUCUUCAGGGAGUCUUAAGAAUGGAGUUAUUAAGAAGAAGAGGUUGUAGCUCAAAGACAGACAUGUUGGUGGAGGCGAGGAGAGCCUGGGGGAAGGACAUCAACUCCACUACAGCAGGGCUGAGGCACAAAAUGGCUUGGGUGAGUGGCAACAAAAUCGAGGAGUGGAAACAGGAAACGAUGGGCCAGGAUGGCCCUUGGAUCUAAGUGACCUAAGAGUAAGAAGUGGCCACGAUGAUGAAGGUUUAUAAUCAUAGUAGUGCGCUGGUUGCUCUGAACAGACAGGGAAGUUAGGAGGGGAAGUCACUGAGGUUGGCAGCUUUUAGAGGAGGAGAUGAGCUACGUCCAAUUUUGGAGAUGAUACCUUUGAAGAGAGGAAAGAAAUCUAGGUAAAAAUGUUUAACUCCCAAAGUAAGGAUUUAGGGAGGAAGUGAAAACCAAACCCCGGGAUCCCUGAGUGGCUCUGUUGGUUAAGCAUCUGCCUUCGUCUCAGGUCAUGAUCCUGGGGUCCUGGGACCAAGCCCCGCAUCAGGCUCCCUGCAGAGCGGGGACCCUGCUUCUCUCUUUC
Canis lupus familiaris (dog) is the source of this 2780-nucleotide long non-coding RNA. RefSeq lists it as uncharacterized. The transcript has 3 exons. NCBI's taxonomy places the organism in Eukaryota, Metazoa, Chordata, Mammalia, Carnivora, Canidae. The record is from RefSeq and is a predicted model, not a curated record.